AUCCAGAUGACGAGUCCUAAAUGGGACGAAACGCGAGUCCUGCAU
This 45-nucleotide non-coding RNA is filed under the name Schistosoma mattheei. The record is from RNAcentral. Lineage: Eukaryota; Metazoa; Platyhelminthes; Trematoda; Strigeidida; Schistosomatidae.